Lytechinus pictus (painted urchin) is the source of this 454-nucleotide long non-coding RNA. RefSeq lists it as uncharacterized. The record is from RefSeq and is a predicted model, not a curated record. The transcript has 2 exons. NCBI's taxonomy places the organism in Eukaryota, Metazoa, Echinodermata, Echinoidea, Temnopleuroida, Toxopneustidae.
CCAUUUAAUCUAAGAUGAUUUAUUAUUUUGUUUAGUUUGUAUUCUAUCUCGUGUAUUAAAAUAGAAAGUCAAAAAGGGGCCUAAGCUUUCGAUCCUAGCAGAAUCUUUGUUGGAGGCAAAAUGACAAACAUAUAAAGUGGAACAACCAUAAUAUAGACCACAAACAAGCUACAGCAACACUAGAAACAAGGAGACAAAAGGGGCAUUAGUGAGUAGAGAAGACCAAUCAGGUUAGUGAAGGGGAUGAAAGAAAAGGAGUAGGCAGACACAAAGGGAAGUUAGUGUAAGUAAGGCCAGUAAAAGACCUCAAGCCAAGAGGGAUUAAGAUAAUGAGGCAGGCAACAUCAAACAGGAUCUGGAACAAAACAGUGAUAAUGGGAUGAAUAACAAGAGAAUUAGUGAGAGGUGGGUCAAACAGGUUACAAAGAAAGGCAUAAUAAACUGGUGCAUAAGA